Small nuclear RNA from Cynocephalus volans (Philippine flying lemur), 109 nucleotides. Lineage: Eukaryota; Metazoa; Chordata; Mammalia; Dermoptera; Cynocephalidae. The record is from RefSeq and is a predicted model, not a curated record.
GUCCACUUUGGCAGCACAUAUACUAAAAUUGGAAUAAUAGAGAGAAGACUAGCAAUGGUACCUGAACGAGGAUGACAUUAAAAUCAUUUGUGAAACGUUUUGUAUUCGU